UGGAGCAUGUGGUUUAAUUCGACGCUACGCGAAGAACUUACCUGGGCUUGAACUGCUGGUGGUAGAAGCCCGAAAGGGUAACGACCCGGAGCAAUCCGGGAGCCAGUAGAGGUGCUGCAUGGCUGUCGUCAGCUCGUGUCGUGAGAUGUUGGGUUAAGUCCCGCAACGAGCGCAACCCUUACCCUUAGUUGCCAGCGGGUAAUGCCGGGCACUCUAAGGGGACCGCCCCGGAUAACGGGGAGGAAGGCGGGGAUGACGUCAAGUCAGCAUGGCCUUUAUGUCCAGGGCUACACACGUGCUACAAUGGGCGAUACAGAGGGAAGCAAGGCCGCAAGGUAGAGCUAAUCCCUAAAGUCGUCCUCAGUUCGGAUUGCAGGCUGCAACUCGCCUGCAUGAAGUCGGAAUCGCUAGUAAUCGCGGAUCAGCUACGCCGCGGUGAAUACGUUCUCGGGCCUU
Molecule: ribosomal RNA, 456 nt
Filed under: uncultured Aminicenantes bacterium
Lineage: Bacteria; Candidatus Aminicenantota
Description: bacterial SSU rRNA
Rfam family: Bacterial small subunit ribosomal RNA
Source: RNAcentral